Long non-coding RNA from Mus musculus (house mouse), 1438 nucleotides. RefSeq annotates it as predicted gene, 41273. The transcript is spliced from 4 exons. Lineage: Eukaryota; Metazoa; Chordata; Mammalia; Rodentia; Muridae. The record is from RefSeq and is a predicted model, not a curated record.
GUGUGUGUGUGUGAUAUUCAGGUGGCUGGGGAGGCCAGAGGAGGGUGUUGGAUCUCUGGAACUCUUGUUCCAGGUGGGGUAAGCCACUUGCGCAUGGGUGCUGGGAACGUUAUUCAGGUCCUCUGGAGGGGCAUCAAGUGCUCUUAACUGCUGAGCCAUCUCAACCCCACUGAGGUUAUUUUUAAUCGUGUAUUUUCACUUCUUUUAUCUUCAACAUUUUUAUAAUAGCAUAAUUAAUCCUUCAAGGCUUUAAUAACUUCAUAAAGUACAACGAACAAGCCACCGUAUUAUUUAUUUUACUCAUUCUAUUGCUAGGAUUUCAGGUUAUAGCCCAUGUUGUAAUAUCAUAAAAGUGUUGAUGAAUACAAAACUAUCUUUAUUUUCCCUUGGCUCGUCAAGAUUUAUUUAUAGAAAUGAGAUCAGGGGCAACGAUGCAUGCAUUUUAAGUUUCCUCGUGUAUAUUGUAAAUGUGCUGCUUUUCAACAACAACAACAAAAUCCACAGCAGUUUACAUAAUAUUGUAUGGUUUCAACUAAUUAUUCGUCUUUUCUUCUUCAGUUUUGGAACCUGUCUUCUGGAGGGACGAGGAUCCCUCUUGUGUGUGGAGAGCAGAGCUCAGGCAGCGACUGAGGAGUCUGCUUUCUAAUGAUGCUUUUGUCCCGUUUCACUUUCAAUGAGCAAAGUAAACAACACUCGCUAAAAGAUGCAAAAGUCCACUUUAUUGGUUUUGAAGGGCCUCCCGUGAAAGGCUAUUGGGAACUUCCAUGGAACAGCUGAGUUUAUCCCUCUCAUAUAAAUCAAAAUGAGCAGGCCUGCAGAAGCGUUCCAUUUGAAACGGCAGCGGUGGUUUAGAGCUGUUGAGCCAAAACGCCCAUUAGCUGUUUGUCAGGAAUAUUUUUAGAAAUUGCAAGAACAAGGCUUGUACGGUGAACUGGAGCUACAGGGUCACCCUCUCCCCAGGAAUUUGCCCUCAGCUUUCAGAAGCCAUCAGGACCUACCUCCCUGUGUUCUUCACGCCAACAGACCCCAAACCCCAAGUAACACAAAAUGAACAACUCAACACGGGCACAGCUGUCCCAGUGCCCUCGGAGGACUGCCAACAUCUUUCACUUCAGGUUCUACCAACCUAAAGGUAACCAAUAUCCUGAUUCCUAAGCCCACAGGUUAACACUGGGACUCAUGGCCUUUCCUGGUCUUCAUACCUGGGUAUCUGCAGUAUGCAGAAGGCAGCCGCUAAGUGAUGACGUUCCAGCAAAUCUCCAAAGGUUCGGCCUUCUGCUCUCCCACUAAUUAGGAGCAGCAAGAGACCCCUCAUCAGAAGCAAUAAGAUGCUGGAGCCAUACUUCUAGACUUCUAAAGGCAUGAGCCCAAAUAAACCGUCACACUUACCUACCUCAGGUAAGUCACAGCAAGAGAAAACGGACCAAACCAUCACAAU